RNAcentral lists this long non-coding RNA (792 nucleotides) under Rattus norvegicus (Norway rat). RNAcentral describes it as "long non-coding RNA NONRATT027524". Lineage: Eukaryota; Metazoa; Chordata; Mammalia; Rodentia; Muridae. The record is from RNAcentral.
UUUUUUCUUUUUUUCCUUAUAGAACUUUUGCCUAUGAAUUACAGUUUUUAGUGUUUUUAUAGGAUUUUUUUGUGUGUUAAUAUGUGAGUCUCUCUGUGAAGACAGCUUUUUUUCUCCUGGUAGUUUUGUUUGUUUCAUCCUAUUCCAGUUUGUCUGAGGCGGCUGUUGUUUAUCAUUAUGUUGUUAUUGUUGUUAUUGCAAUUAUUAUUUUGGUGCCUGUUUGUAUUCCAAUGACACAGAGAUAGGGUGAGUAGGGAGUAGAGAAGGACCUGAGAGGAGUUGGGGGAGGAGAAACUGUGAUUGUAUGAAAACCAAAAAUCUAUUUUCAAUUUUAAAAAAUUCUUAAAGAGAUAUUGUACAAAUCAAAACAACUAUGGGGUAUAUACACCAAUCAAAAGCACUUGUGAAUGUGUUCUUUUCUUUUGUCUGUUAUGUGUCCACAUGUGUAUGCACAUUUGUUAAUACUAGAUGUGCAGGUGCAAGAGGGGGAGGGAAAGGGGGGAGAAUACAGAGAAGCCAAAGGUCAAUGUUGGGUGCCUUCCCCUGUUACUCAUCACCUUGCUUUUCUGAAGAAGGAAAGGGGUCUUCCACUGAGCCUAGAGCAGCCCACAGGAAUCUGCUCAUCUCUACCACCACCUUGGCCAGCCGCACUCCCAGAGCUGGGCAUACCCUCUACCGCCACCUUGGCCAGCCGCACUCCCAGAGCGGGCAUACCCUCUACCGCCACCUUGGCCAGCCGCACUCCCAGACCGGGCAUACCCUCUACCGCCACCUUGGCCAGCCGCACUCCCA